Long non-coding RNA from Xenopus laevis (African clawed frog), 769 nucleotides. RefSeq lists it as uncharacterized. The record is from RefSeq and is a predicted model, not a curated record. Lineage: Eukaryota; Metazoa; Chordata; Amphibia; Anura; Pipidae. The transcript is spliced from 2 exons.
GAAAAUUUUGAAAAUGAAAAAAGAAAAAAAAAAACCAGGCAAGAAACUUCAGCAGCAGCAGCACUGUGGAAAUACCGGAUCUACUAGCUGCUUGCAAGGACGGCUCAUUAAUCACUCUGCACUUCCACAAAAAGCCCCUGCACUGUAUCAGCCAAUCACAGAGCCGUUACCACAGGGACAACCUUUACCCUUGAGAGGCUUCAUAGAUUUUUUUUUUUUUUUUCAGUUCUGGUUUUUUUCCGGGAAUCAUUGGCAGCCUCAGAUGUGAGGCAGAGAGGGAGAAGAGGAGGAGGAGGAGUGUGAUUAUCAAAAUAACAAGCUGAAUCUCAAUGGCACCCGACGGCUUUUUAAAAGCGUACCAAAUAAAAGAUGAUAGAAGAAUUCCGCAGGAGCAGCCCGCUUGGAAGAUACAGGAAAAGUCAUCGAUCAGUGCGAUCCAGAGGGGGAAAAACACACACACAUCUAUAUAUAUAUAUGGUUAAAAGAUGAUUGGAAACCGCAUAAGACGUCCUACAAUGGUCCUACAAUGCACAUCUGAGAAUCAUUUCUAAUUAUUAUGUUUUUUUAGGAUAGUCAUCCGCUCAGCUCAUUGUUCAUCCCACACUUUAACUUCAUCACCGAUGCCAAACAUCUCAUGCAUGCCCAAAGAGCUUGCAAUCUAACAGUUAUUGAGCGAGAACCACACUGUAAUCCACACAAUUUAUUUCUGUUGUACUUGUAAUAAAAAAAUCCAUAUUUGUCCCUCUAAACUUGAAAGGCAAAUCCGUUA